This 315-nucleotide ribosomal RNA is filed under the name Ehrlichia canis. RNAcentral's name for it is "bacterial SSU rRNA". It matches the Rfam family "Bacterial small subunit ribosomal RNA", at positions 72 to 403 of the family's 1533-position model. Lineage: Bacteria; Pseudomonadati; Pseudomonadota; Alphaproteobacteria; Rickettsiales; Anaplasmataceae. The record is from RNAcentral.
GCCUCUGGCUAUCAGAAAUUGUUAGUGGCAGACGGGUGAGUAAUGCGUAGGAAUCUACCUAGUAGUACCCAAUAGCCAUUAGAAAUGGUGGGUAAUACUGUAUAAUCCCCGAGGGGGAAAGAUUUAUCGCUAUUAGAUGAGCCUACGUUAGAUUAGCUAGUUGGUGAGGUAAUGCAUUACCAAGGGUAUGAUCUAUAGCUGGUCUGAGAGGACGAUCAGCCACACUGGAACUGAGAUACGGUCCAGACUCCUACGGGAGGCAGCAGUGGGGAAUAUUGGACAAUGGGGGAAAGCCUGAUCCAGCUAUGCCGCGUG